Molecule: non-coding RNA, 74 nt
Organism: Zophobas morio
Lineage: Eukaryota; Metazoa; Arthropoda; Insecta; Coleoptera; Tenebrionidae
Source: the annotation of a RefSeq genome assembly
GGUUCUGUAGAUCAGUUGGUUAGAUCACCUGCUUUACACGCAGGAGGUCGCGAGUUCGAUCCUCGCCGGAAUCA